UGGGGAAUAUUGCACAAUGGGCGCAAGCCUGAUGCAGCCAUGCCGCGUGUAUGAAGAAGGCCUUCGGGUUGUAAAGUACUUUCAGUCGGGAGGAAGGUGGUAAGGUUAAUAACCUUAUCAAUUGACGUUACCGACAGAAGAAGCACCGGCUAACUCCGUGCCAGCAGCCGCGGUAAUACGGAGGGUGCAAGCGUUAAUCGGAAUUACUGGGCGUAAAGCGCACGCAGGCAGUUGAUUGAGUCAGAUGUGAAAUCCCCGGGCUUAACCCGGGAAUUGCAUCUGAUACUGGUCAGCUAGAGGCUUGUAGAGGGGGGUAGAAUUCCAUGUGUAGCGGUGAAAUGCGUAGAGAUGUGGAGGAAUACCGGUGGCGAAGGCGGCCCCCUGGACAAAGACUGACGCUCAGGUGCGAAAGCGUGGGGAGCAAACAGG
RNAcentral lists this ribosomal RNA (429 nucleotides) under Acidobacteriota bacterium. RNAcentral describes it as "Acidobacteria bacterium partial 16S ribosomal RNA". It matches the Rfam family "Bacterial small subunit ribosomal RNA", at positions 355 to 776 of the family's 1533-position model. The record is from RNAcentral. Lineage: Bacteria; Pseudomonadati; Acidobacteriota. RNAcentral also lists the same sequence under 1 other name.